This 116-nucleotide small RNA is filed under the name Erwinia sp. JUb26. Its description in RNAcentral is "Fumarate/nitrate reductase regulator sRNA". It matches the Rfam family "Fumarate/nitrate reductase regulator sRNA". Lineage: Bacteria; Pseudomonadati; Pseudomonadota; Gammaproteobacteria; Enterobacterales; Erwiniaceae. The record is from RNAcentral.
GCAGGUGAAUGCAACGUCAAGCGAUGGGCGUUGCGCUCCAUAAUUGUCUUACUUCAUUUUUAGAAUUAAUGCAUAGCACAUUUAAUUCGUACGACGCCGGCUCCGAGCCGGCUUUU